CCCCUCGUGACUUGCUGGAAUGUUCGAGGCUGGAACAAUCCGGCAAAAAGAAGAGCGGUGAAGCAGUUUUUAGAUUCGGUUAAGCCUAGCAUAGUUUGUUUGCAAGAGACCAAACUUGCUGUUGUAGAUGCUUUUCUGUUAUUGCAAUGUUGUGGCCCGUCCUUGGACAAAUUUUCCUACUUACCAGCGAAGGAGACGAGAGGUGGUAUUAUCUUAGCCUGG
Molecule: ribosomal RNA, 222 nt
Filed under: Triticum aestivum (bread wheat)
Lineage: Eukaryota; Viridiplantae; Streptophyta; Magnoliopsida; Poales; Poaceae
Description: partial small subunit ribosomal RNA
Source: RNAcentral